GAUGAACGCUGGCGGCGUGCCUAACACAUGCAAGUCGAGCGGCAGCGAGGGGUGCUUGCACCCUGUCGGCGAGCGGCGGACGGCUGAGUAACGCGUGGGAACGUGCCCCAAAGUGAGGAAUAACUGCCCGAAAGGGUAGCUAAUACCGCAUAUUAUCUUCGGAUCAAAGGAUUUAUCCGCUUUGGGAGCGGCUCGCGUCGGAUUAGGUAGUUGGUGAGGUAAUGGCUCACCAAGCCGACGAUCCGUAGCUGGUCUGAGAGGAUGACCAGCCAGACUGGAACUGAGACACGGUCCAGACUCCUACGGGAGGCAGCAGUGAGGAAUCUUGCACAAUGGGCGAAAGCCUGAUGGAGCAACGCCGCGUGCAGGACGAAGGCCUUCGGGUUGUAAACUGCUUUUAUAAGUGAGGAAUAUGACGGUAACUGAUGAAUAAGGAUCGGCUAACUACGUG
RNAcentral lists this ribosomal RNA (451 nucleotides) under uncultured bacterium. RNAcentral's name for it is "partial 16S ribosomal RNA". It matches the Rfam family "Bacterial small subunit ribosomal RNA", at positions 28 to 507 of the family's 1533-position model. The record is from RNAcentral.